Molecule: small nuclear RNA, 164 nt
Organism: Brienomyrus brachyistius
Lineage: Eukaryota; Metazoa; Chordata; Actinopteri; Osteoglossiformes; Mormyridae
Product: U1 spliceosomal RNA
Exons: 1
Source: RefSeq, a predicted model, not a curated record
AUACUUCUGUAGCAGGGGAGAUACCAUGGUCACGAAGGCGGUUCUCCCAGGGUGAGGCCCAGCCGUUACACUGCAGCUGUGCUGACCCCUGCGAAUUCCCCGAAUGUGGGAAUCAUCACUGCAUCAUUUCUGGUAGUGGGGGACUGCGUUUGCACUCUCCUCUG